GCGUCAUGGAGGGAGCGCGUCGGGGCGUCAGCGAGCGCCAACUUUCAGCGUCUUUUCUGCGGCUUCCUUCUAUCCCGCUCCGAGGCUGCAGGGCCCUGGCAGAGUGGCGUCAGCUGGAAGGCUGGCCAGAGCCGGAUUUUGUUGCACUCCGGGCAGGAAGAUGGCCGAGGCGGCGGCUGACGGAGAUAGUAGUGCCUUGCUGAAGUCACGGCGGCCGGCGGCGCCCUCCUGGAGGCUGACGGGACGGAGGCAGGGAACUUCCCGGUGAGCCAGCCGGGCCUAGCAGGAGCCUUCGGCGGCUGCCCAAAGCCGUGGGGACGGCUGGCUGACUCAGCCGCUCUCUGGACGGAGUUGCUGGGUCCCCACAAGCCUGCCCGUGCAGCUGAAGUGGCAGGUUAGAGUUGUGGUACUCAAACUUAAGUCCAAGCAAACAGGAGGAGCACCGGCGCGGGUUCAGUCUUUCCAAACCCAGUUCAGCCGUAAUCUCUGGAGUCAGACUUCGCCGCCCAAUUCAUGGAUUUGUGCUUUUGACUCCGCUCUGAUGUUUUUGAAUGAAUAAAGUUGCCUAGGAUACUUAAGUAUAGUUGCAGAGCGUCUUUUCGGCCCUGAAAAGAGGGAAAGUUUCCAUUGAAAAAGUUCUUUAUCACAUAUUGGCAAACCCAAAGUAUGCCAAUUUGCAACGUGUUGACAUUUUCAUUGAAAUAUCUACAAUAAAGGCAAAGAUUCCUUGUCUCAGUGAUACAGAGUCCAUGGAAGGAAAUAAUUUAAAUGACCAAAUACUUUCUGUACUUCAAAAACCAUCAAAUAAGUGAUCAUUUAGAAAGUAAAAUUGUAGAAUCAUAAGAUUAAUUUUGUGGUUUACAGUGCAACAGUAUCUUAGAAGCACUGAAUAAUAGAAAAACUUGAGAGGCCACUUUUCAUGUAAAUCACCAAGAGGCAUUUUUAAGUUCUGGUUAGACAGUUUCCCUUGCCCUUCCAUUCAUUGCCACGGGUCCCAACCUAAGCACCCUUGCAUUUCCCAAGACUCCCCCAACCCUUUCUGCUGUUGCUCUCAAUGUCUCCCAUCCUUCACUCCCAAACAGACCGUUUUAGUUUUAAUGAGUUUGCUGGUACAUGCUAUGAGCCAGGAACUUGAGAGAGAAUAUACAAGAGGAGGCUUAAAUCUUGCAAGCCUUGUCUUUGAUCCUUAGUAUCAUGGCUUUGGAACCCAAUCAAUUCGAAUUUAAAUUCUAGUGGAGCAAGAAUUAGUGUUAUAAUCUUGGUAAAGGCACUGAAACUUUCUAAGCUUUAGCUUCCUCAUGAGUAAAAUUAGGUCCUUCGUGUACAGUUCCUGACACAAAAGUAAGCUUUCAGCAAAUUGUGGCUAUAUACAGGUAAUGAAUUGUUCCUUCGCUAAAAGAUUCCCGGAAAUAGUAAUCGCUUACAUUUAUUGAGAACACAUUAUAUGUCAUGUUAAUUCCCACAGCAUCCUUGCAGAAGUGCCAUUAUAAAAACUGACACAGUGAGGUUAGGAAACACGCCACAAACAACACAGCUAGUCACUAUGAGAGCCAGGAUUUGAACUCAAGCAGUGUGACUCCCAAGUUCCCACUCUAAUAACUACCAUAUAAUACUGCCUAAUGACAUAAUAUUAUGAGCUUCUAUUCUCUUUCAUUUUUGCUCAACAAACUUCUUUCUUUAUGGCUUUUCUUCCUAGCAAUAAUACCUACCCUCAGAUAUAAACCUACUUAAUUUAAUAUUAACAGACUUUUGAAGUACAUCUGGGGACUACCUGAAACCAUCUCCAAUGCCUCCAGGAGUGUAUUAGUCCGUUUUCAUGCUGCUGAUAAAGACAUACCCGAGACUGAGAAGAGAAAGAGGGGUUAAAUUGUGUUUAAAGUUCCACAUGGCUGGGGAGGCCUCAGAAUCACGGCAGGAGGCAAAAGCCACUUCUUACAUGGAGGGCAGCAGGAGAAAAUGAGGAAGAAGCAAAAGUGGGAAACCCCGAUAAACCUAUCAGAUCUCAUGAGACUUAAUUCACUAUAAUGAGAUUAGCAUGGGAAAUACCGGUCCCCAUGAUUCAAUUACCUCCCCCUGGGUCCCUCCCACAACACGUGGGAAUUCUGGGAGAUAAAUUCAAGUUGAGAUUUGGGUGAGGACAUAGCCAAACUAUAUCAUUCUGCCCUGGCCCCUCCAAAUCUCAUUUCUUACAUUUCAAAACCAAUCAUGCCUUCCCAACAGUACCCCAAAGUCUUAACUCAUUUCAGCAUUAACCCAAAAGUCUACAGUCCAAAGUCUCAUCUGAGACAAGGCAAGUCCCUUUCGCCUAUGAGCCUGUAAAAUAAAAAGCAAGCCAGCUACUUCGUAGAUACAAAGGGGGUACAGAUAUUGGGUAAAUACAGCCAUUCCAAAUGGGAGAAAUUGGCCAAAACAAAGGGGUUACAGGGCCCAUGCAAAGGGCACUCAAAUUUUAAAGCUCCAAAAUGAUCCCCUUUGACUCCAGGUCUCACAUCCAUGUCAUGAUGAUGCAAGAGAUGGGUUCCCAUGGUCUUGGGCAAGGAGAAUGGAGAGGAUAUUUUGAAAAAUGUUGCCACAGAGCCUAGUUUCUAGGUAAAAAUGCACUCUUCUAAAGAGCCACUAGGGUGUGUCAGUCUCCUGGAGCACACAGCACAGUGCAAAGCUUGGAAAGGAGAGGGCAGGCUGGAUUUAAGGCCCCAUUUUUCCCUCAGCCAACUUUGGUGUUUGUGUGUGCGUGUGUUGUUGUUAUUUGUUGUUUUGUUGUUUAAUUAUAGCAACAUGUUCUUGCUAUGUUGCCCAGGCUGGUCUCCAACUCCUGGGCUCAAGGGAUCCUCCCACCUUGGCCUCCCAAAGUGCUGAAAUUACAGACAGUGAAGUUCCAGUCUGCACAACUGUAACUUCUGUAUGAUUACUUGUAUCAGUUCAAAUUAGGUUCAGCUACAAGUGGUAUCAAGUUCAAAAUAACAGGAGCC
This 2969-nucleotide long non-coding RNA is filed under the name Homo sapiens (human). Its description in RNAcentral is "non-protein coding YTHDF3-AS1:2". Lineage: Eukaryota; Metazoa; Chordata; Mammalia; Primates; Hominidae. The record is from RNAcentral.